RNAcentral lists this small RNA (127 nucleotides) under Marmota monax (woodchuck). Lineage: Eukaryota; Metazoa; Chordata; Mammalia; Rodentia; Sciuridae. The record is from RNAcentral.
ACUGGAUAUGGUGGUGCAUGCCUGUAAUCCCAGUGACUCAGGAGGCUGAGGCAGGAGGAUCGCAAGUUCAAAGCCAGCUUUAGCUAUUUAGGGAGGCCUUAAGCAACUUAGCAAGACCCUGUCUCAA